This 254-nucleotide ribosomal RNA is filed under the name uncultured bacterium. Its description in RNAcentral is "partial 16S ribosomal RNA". It matches the Rfam family "Bacterial small subunit ribosomal RNA", at positions 524 to 776 of the family's 1533-position model. The record is from RNAcentral.
UACGUAGGCAGCGAGCGUUGUUCGGAUUUACUGGGCGUAAAGGGCGCGUAGGCGGCCACUGCAAGUCAGUUGUGAAAUCUCCGGGCUUAACCCGGAAAGGUCAACUGAUACUGCAGGGCUAGAGUGCAGAAGGGGCAACUGGAAUUCUCGGUGUAGCGGUGAAAUGCGUAGAUAUCGAGAGGAACACCUGCGGCGAAGGCGGGUUGCUGGGCUGACACUGACGCUGAGGCGCGAAAGCCAGGGGAGCGAACGGG